UGAAGCCGGAAUUGCUAGUAAUGGCAGGUCAGCAUACUGCCGUGAAUACGUUCCCGGGCCCUUGUACACACCGCCCGUCACACCAUGAGAGUUGGGAAUACCCGAAGCCUGUGAGCUAACGUAAGAGGCAGCAGUCGAAGGUAGAAUCAAUGAUUGGGGUGAAGUCGUAACAAGGUAAC
This 179-nucleotide ribosomal RNA is filed under the name uncultured bacterium. RNAcentral's name for it is "partial 16S ribosomal RNA". It matches the Rfam family "Bacterial small subunit ribosomal RNA", at positions 1321 to 1500 of the family's 1533-position model. The record is from RNAcentral.